RNAcentral lists this long non-coding RNA (259 nucleotides) under Elaeis guineensis (African oil palm). RNAcentral describes it as "long non-coding RNA (EGUI_LNC080489)". Lineage: Eukaryota; Viridiplantae; Streptophyta; Magnoliopsida; Arecales; Arecaceae. The record is from RNAcentral.
CUUGCUGCCCUAUACCUCUCCUUCUUUCAGAUAAUUUUUUCUGGUGCGCCUGAGGUCCUUUAAAUAGCCUUCUUAGCCCCCCGCUCCCCCCAUGUUGCAUCGCACGUCUCAGGCCAUGCAUUCACGCAUUGAAAACUCGUCUUAGGCCAUUAAGCCAUUUUAACCCGCUCUCUGUUCUCGCGAGCUGCCUUCACGUGCUAUGAAGAUCGAACCACUCGAAGACCCAGGCGCCCGUGUGCGUUUUAAUUCGAGUGCCCGC